RNAcentral lists this unclassified non-coding RNA (357 nucleotides) under Hevea brasiliensis (rubber tree). The record is from RNAcentral. Lineage: Eukaryota; Viridiplantae; Streptophyta; Magnoliopsida; Malpighiales; Euphorbiaceae.
CCCCCCCCCCCCCCCCCCCUCCCGUGGGAUUUAUUAUCAAUGAACAUAUCCCUGGGAGAGGUUUCAUUACCAUGAACAUAAAUUGAUAUCUUGUGUUAAUUCUUUGAAUUUUAAUUUUCCUUGUUAUUUGGAGUUUUUGAACAAAGCAAGAUGAUGUGGAGGAUAUUGUUGUUUCUCUUCCUCCAAGAGUAAAAUAAUGUAUUUGUGUCUGUUAUAAUAUUGAGGUGAAAAUUUGCAUGAAAAUGGAAAACUUGAAAGCUGUCUGAAUGCAGGGCAAAGAGCAAAAAUGCAGAGAUUAGGAAGGGGUCGCAUACAGAGGCAACGGUAACACUUCACUUGACAUGAGUUGGUAAAAUA